Molecule: non-coding RNA, 2488 nt
Organism: Hydra vulgaris (swiftwater hydra)
Lineage: Eukaryota; Metazoa; Cnidaria; Hydrozoa; Anthoathecata; Hydridae
Source: RefSeq, a predicted model, not a curated record
UAAAAAUAAUUUAACUUAAAAUAUAAAAGAAUAUUUUCAGAAAGUUUAAAAAUUGUUUAAUUUGUUUAACUUUGUUCAUUCAAAUAUUUUUUGAAUGUAACACUCUGGCUCUUUACUUUCUCACCUGCAUCAUAACAUAAACUAAUUUCUCCACUAAUGGUCAAAGUUUAGGCUGUUAACCAGUCACUAUUUGGUAGGAUGAAACAUUUGCUAUUAUUAUUAUUAGUCAAAUAGUGUUUUAAAUUUCAAAGUUUUUCACGCAAAACACCACUCGAUUUAAAUCUAGUUUUACACUUUGGUCUAUUAUCAUAACUAUGCUAAAGAGAAAUCUACACAGAUAUAAUAUAUCGUAACAAGGCUUUCUGUAAUUAUAAAUAAUUUCAACAAGGCUUUCUGUAAAUAUAAAUAGUUAAAACAUAUUUAAAGUAGUGCUACUAACAGAAAUAUUAAAGAUAAAUUUAAUUAUAUUAAAUAUUGCAAUCUUUAUUUUUUUUAGAAAUUAAGAAUACUGCUUGGUGCACCAUAAAUGUUUAGCUUUUUGUUUGUCAGAGUUAAAAUUAAAGUCUCAUUUUGAAUCAGAUGCAUGUGUAAAUUCAAUCCUUCAAUUUUUUAUUGUCUUUUUGUGGGCUGGAUCCCAUCAUUCCCAUCAAUCUUUGUAAAAUUAUUCUCCAAAGCUUUCUUUAUUACUCUCUGUGUUUUUCAAACUUUUUGUUCUCUUGACCCCUUUUUAAGCUGAUGAUAUUAACAAACAAACGAAAAACAGAAAACAGUUAAGUAAAAAAAAAAAAGAGUACCCUGCAAAGUAUAUAUAGAAAACAUUUCAGAAAGAAGGGAGGGGAGGAAUCAUUUACAUUCAGAAGUAGUUAACAGUUAGAAAAUCAUUUUCAUUCAAAAGGUGUUAAGCUUUUUUUGUUUAAUUGCAAUGAAACGCUCAUAUUUUUGAUUAAAAGUAGAUUUAUUUUUAUUAUCAAUCAAAAAAAAAAACUUAUCUUUGGUACAUCUUUGAGCUAAAUAUUCUUUGUAUACAUAUGUACUGACAUUAAAAUAGUUAGUUGAGUAAAAAUAUUUUAAAAGAAAUUUAAUGUCAAGGAUGAGCAUUUUUAUUUUGGCAAAAAACUUUAGCAGAUGCUUAUUUUGCGAUGAAUUUGAAAUAUGGUUUCCAAGAAAGAUCAGAAGUGCAGAUUCUGACGCAGCUAAAAACAAAACCAUUAAAAAUUAUUUAUGGACAUUUAACAACAGACUCUGGCAGAGUCUGUUGUUUUUAGCUUCCCCAGCACGCUCUGGUAUGGUUCAUUUGGAAAAACCAGUCAAAUGUCUGGAAACUCGCAAUCUUUAACUACUGGUCAAGCUAUUGAACAUACCGAAAUAAAGAAUAGAAGUUUUUAUAAUAUUACAAUACAAGUUACUGAAAGCGGUAAAUACUCAUGUGAGUUUGAUGAUGGUAUAUCAACAGUUAAUAGAGUUUCUGUGAUGCGAAAUAUUGCAUCUGUUUUUAACUGAGAGGGAUUUUUUAAACUUUACUUUGGAUAGGAAGAUGAUUGGAAAGAUAAAUUUAAGAAUUUGACAACUUACAUUAGAAAGUUUUUGACAAUCUUCAAAUUCGGGACCCUUUUGCUAUGGGAAGUAUAUGAAAUUCAAUUUUGAUGUUGUCAAUUCUAAAUCAUCUGGAUCUGUGUAUUUUAUGUGUCAGCUUCAGAUUUUCAUGAGAAUAUUGCCUUUAUUUCCUCUGAAAAGCAAUGCCUCUAUGCUGAACACAUCUGCUAAAUAUAAUAUCCUAAGGAAAACAAACAAUCUCAGAAGAGGCUUACAAUACAAACUUGUGUGAAAAUAGACAUGGUGGCAACUUAAGAGCUCUAGUGUCGUCAAACAUUGUAACUACUACAGAUGCAAAUAAAAAAAUUUAUGAUUGGUUAAAAUUAAUUAAUAUUCCAACUAAAAAUGUUUCUUGAUGCAUGCAAGUUAGUCAAGUAUUUAGUUAUGAUUCCAAUUCGAUAUGGAAACAUUUUGAACCAUGCUAUUCUAUGAAAAAUACUUUGCUAGUUGUCAAAAUGGUAGGAGCUGAAAGUUGGAUUUAGGGAGUUUUGCUGAUAUUCCUUGGAGCAAUGUACAAUAUUCGUCAAGCAACAAAACAUUUGUGUUUACUACUUAUCCUGAUAAUAUGUUGAAGAUUAAAGAUCUUGGUAACACCCAACUUUGUUCAAAGAGCCUGACAAAUAGAAGAAUAUAUCCUUGUUUUGGUUUGGAGCAGUUUGUCUUUGAAGGCGAGAGUAAACAUGGGAAGAGAGUAAACGUGGGAAUGAAAAACUGAGAUUAUUCAUUGAAAAUUAGAAGUUAUAAUGUAUUAGGUUCAAAUACACUGAUAGGGAUUCAAGACAUUUAAGUCUUUUAUUUCAUGUAAAAUUAUGAUUGAAUUGAUCAGUUUGUAAUUAAUGUAUAGAGUAUAGAGUGGUGCUUAAAAAAAUCAUAAUACUUUGGUUUUAUGUAAAUA